GACGAACGCUGGCGGCGUGCCUAAUACAUGCAAGUAGAACGCUGAAGAGAGGAGCUUGCUCUUCUUGGAUGAGUUGCGAACGGGUGAGUAACGCGUAGGUAACCUGCCUUGUAGCGGGGGAUAACUAUUGGAAACGAUAGCUAAUACCGCAUAACAAUGGAUGACACAUGUCAUUUAUUUGAAAGGGGCAAUUGCUCCACUACAAGAUGGACCUGCGUUGUAUUAGCUAGUAGGUGAGGUAAUGGCUCACCUAGGCGACGAUACAUAGCCGACCUGGGAGGGUGAUCGGCCACACUGGGACUGAGACACGGCCCAGACUCCUACGGGAGGCAGCAGUAGGGAAUCUUCGGCAAUGGGGGCAACCCUGACCGAGCAACGCCGCGUGAGUGAAGAAGGGUUUCGGAUCGUAAAGAUCUGUUGUAAGUCAAGAACGGGUGUGAGAGUGGAAAGUUCACACUGUGACGGUAGCUUACCAGAAAGGGACGGCUAACUACGUG
Molecule: ribosomal RNA, 497 nt
Filed under: uncultured bacterium
Lineage: Bacteria
Description: partial 16S ribosomal RNA
Rfam family: Bacterial small subunit ribosomal RNA
Source: RNAcentral